This 492-nucleotide ribosomal RNA is filed under the name uncultured bacterium. RNAcentral's name for it is "partial 16S ribosomal RNA". It matches the Rfam family "Bacterial small subunit ribosomal RNA", at positions 29 to 507 of the family's 1533-position model. The record is from RNAcentral.
AGUGAACGCUGGCGGUAGGCCUAACACAUGCAGGUCGAACGGCAGCACAGUAAGAGCUUGCUCUUACGGGUGGCGAGUGGCGGACGGGUGAGGAAUACAUCGGAAUCUACUUUUUCGUGGGGGAUAACGUAGGGAAACUUACGCUAAUACCGCAUACGGCCUACGGGUGAAAGCAGGGGAUCUUCGGACCUUGCGCGAUUGAAUGAGCCGAUGUCGGAUUAGCUAGUUGGCGGGGUAAAGGCCCACCAAGGCGACGAUCCGUAGCUGGUCUGAGAGGAUGAUCAGCCACACUGGAACUGAGACACGGUCCAGACUCCUACGGGAGGCAGCAGUGGGGAAUAUUGGACAAUGGGCGCAAGCCUGAUCCAGCCAUACCGCGCGGGUGAAGAAGGCCUUCGGGUUGUAAAGCCCUUUUGUUGGGAAAGAAAAGCAGCAGGUUAAUACCCCGCUGUUCUGACGGUACCCAAAGAAUAAGCACCGGCUAACUUCGUG